RNAcentral lists this transfer RNA (74 nucleotides) under Candidatus Bathyarchaeota archaeon. RNAcentral describes it as "tRNA-Gly". It matches the Rfam family "tRNA". Rfam says of the family: Transfer RNA (tRNA) molecules are approximately 80 nucleotides in length. Their secondary structure includes four short double-helical elements and three loops (D, anti-codon, and T loops). RNAcentral also lists the same sequence under 1 other name. The record is from RNAcentral. Lineage: Archaea; Thermoproteati; Candidatus Bathyarchaeota.
GCGGGAUUGGUCUAGUCUGGUAGGAUGCCAGCCCCCCAAGCUGGCGGUCGCGGGUUCAAAUCCCGCAUCCCGCA